Hippocampus comes (tiger tail seahorse) is the source of this 418-nucleotide long non-coding RNA. RefSeq lists it as uncharacterized. The record is from RefSeq and is a predicted model, not a curated record. Lineage: Eukaryota; Metazoa; Chordata; Actinopteri; Syngnathiformes; Syngnathidae. The transcript has 3 exons.
GUAUGUAUACAUUAAGUCUGGCUGCGCGCAAAUCUCGGAGGCGGAAAACACACGCUGAACAGAACAAAAUGGUGUGAGUAAUGGUGUGCUCAUGCUGUGCUGUGGGUUAUCAGAAAGAGCACACACAGAGAUCUAGUCUUUUAUAGAAUUCCUGCUAGUAAACACCCUUUCAGAAAAAAACGGCAAAAGUUAUGGUUACAAGCUUUAGACGUGAGAAUUGGUCUGAGGAGGCAAUUAAUACUGUUCGUCUUUGCAGUGCCCACUUCAUAUCUGGAAAAGCAUCCUUGGAACAUUGUAGUCCAGAUUUCGUUCCAUCUGUAUUUUCGUAUACAGCAGCUGUUUCACCAAGUGGACACUCAAAACUUGCAAGAUAUCAAUGCCGACCAUGAAGAUACUAUGACAGCUGCAGAAAGUUUCG